UCCCUGGUGGCCCAGUGGUUAAGACGCUGUCCUUCUGAUGCAGAGGGCGCAGGUUCGAUCCCUGCUCAGGGAA
Cervus elaphus (red deer) is the source of this 73-nucleotide non-coding RNA. The record is from the annotation of a RefSeq genome assembly. NCBI's taxonomy places the organism in Eukaryota, Metazoa, Chordata, Mammalia, Artiodactyla, Cervidae.